RNAcentral lists this ribosomal RNA (301 nucleotides) under uncultured bacterium. RNAcentral describes it as "partial 16S ribosomal RNA". It matches the Rfam family "Bacterial small subunit ribosomal RNA", at positions 509 to 807 of the family's 1533-position model. The record is from RNAcentral.
CAGCAGCCACGGUAAUACGUAGGUGGCAAGCGUUGUCCGGAAUUAUUGGGCGUAAAGCGCGCGCAGGUGGUUUAAUAGGUCUGAUGUGAAAGCCCACGGCUCAACCGUGGAGGGUCAUUGGAAACUGUUAAACUUGAGUGCAGGAGAGAAAAGUGGAAUUCCUAGUGUAGCGGUGAAAUGCGUAGAGAUUAGGAGGAACACCAGUGGCGAAGGCGGCUUUUUGGCCUGUAACUGACACUGAGGCGCGAAAGCGUGGGGAGCAAACAGGAUUAGAUACCCCAGUAGUCCCUGUCUCUUAUAC